This 404-nucleotide ribosomal RNA is filed under the name uncultured bacterium. RNAcentral's name for it is "bacterial SSU rRNA". It matches the Rfam family "Bacterial small subunit ribosomal RNA", at positions 355 to 776 of the family's 1533-position model. The record is from RNAcentral.
UGGGGAAUAUUGGACAAUGGGCGAAAGCCUGAUCCAGCCAUGCCGCGUGAGUGAUGAAGGCCUUAGGGUUGUAAUGCUCUUUUAGCGGGGAAGAUAAUGACGGUACCCGCAGAAUAAGCCCCGGCUAACUUCGUGCCAGCAGCCGCGGUAAUACGAAGGGGGCUAGCGUUGUUCGGAAUUACUGGGCGUAAAGCGCACGUAGGCGGAUUGGCAAGUCAGGGGUGAAAUCCCGGGGCUCAACCUCGGAACUGCCUUUGAUACUGCCAGUCUAGAGUCCGGAAGAGGUGGGUGGAAUUCCUAGUGUAGAGGUGAAAUUCGCAGAUAUUAGGAAGAACACCGGUGGCGAAGGCGGCCCACUGGUCCGGAACUGACGCUGAGGUGCGAAAGCGUGGGGAGCAAACAGG